AUUCUGCCCAUGCGGGGAAGGAUGAGAAGCUUCGACUAAGGUUCGGCUCGAGCGUCAGCGAGAGAGCGUUGCCGUAGGCAACGACCCGAAGGGCGAAGCGCGCAGCGCUGAGUAAUCCUUCCCCCACCACCA
RNAcentral lists this small RNA (132 nucleotides) under Escherichia coli. RNAcentral describes it as "RtT sRNA". It matches the Rfam family "RtT RNA". Rfam says of the family: This family represents a bacterial cis-regulatory element known as RtT RNA. The exact function of RtT is unknown although it is thought that it may be involved in changing the cellular response in relation to amino acid starvation. The record is from RNAcentral. Lineage: Bacteria; Pseudomonadati; Pseudomonadota; Gammaproteobacteria; Enterobacterales; Enterobacteriaceae.